This 1497-nucleotide ribosomal RNA is filed under the name Triticum aestivum (bread wheat). Its description in RNAcentral is "partial small subunit ribosomal RNA". Lineage: Eukaryota; Viridiplantae; Streptophyta; Magnoliopsida; Poales; Poaceae. The record is from RNAcentral.
AUGCUCGUGUGUGAGCUAGCGUGCUUCUUUGUUGUGUCAUGGCAACCGAACACGAUAAAUUCUUUGUUGUGUGUGAGCUCAACGGCAAUGCAGUAUAGCGUCUGCAACUCCACCAUGAAAGACUGGCCAGUGUCGCCGCCUUUUCCCUGCGUUCUUCUCUUCCUGACGUUCUUGUUCGCUUCGUCUGUCGCGGAGCCGGUGGCCAUGCGCGCCGAUCUUACACACGUGGACAGCGGCCGCGGCUUCACCAAGCACGAGCUCCUCAGCCGGAUGGCCGCCCGGUCCAAGGUCCGCAUGGCGACCCUACGCUCGUCGGGCAGCGCCCCGGCGGUGACCGUGCCAGUAGCCCGGGGCGGCUUGGACGUGGGUUUUUCCGAGUACCUCGUCCACUUGGGCGUCGGCACGCCGCGCCCGCAGCGCGUGGCGCUGACGCUAGACACCGGCAGCGACCUCGUCUGGACGCAGUGCGCUUGCGCGGCCUGCUUCGACCAGCCGUUCCCGGUCCUCCGCGCCUCCGCCUCCAGCACCUUUCGCCGCGUCCCGUGCUCCGACCCUCUCUGCGGUCACGCCGUGUACCUCCCGGUCUCCGGGUGCGCCGCCAGAGACAGGUCCUGCUUAUACGCCUACGGCUACGGCGACAAUUCGGUCACCACUGGCAAGGUCGUCGAGGACACUUUCACAUUCAAUGCUCUCGGGGGCAAGAAGCACGCCGCCGUGGCCGUGCCCAACCUCCGGUUUGGCUGCGGCAUGCUCAACGUCGGCCUCUUCAAGUCGAACGAGUCCGGCAUCGCCGGCUUCGGGCGCGGCCCGUUGUCGCUGCCGUCGCAGCUCAAGGUCGGCAGGUUCUCCUACUGCUUCACGGCCAUCAUAGAGUCGAGGACCAGCCCGGUGUUCCUGGGCGGCAGGCCGGACAACCUUGAAGCUCAUGCCACGGGGCCCAUUCAGUCCACCCCGUUCGCCCCAGGCCCUGCGGGUGCGCCUGUGGGUAGCUCGCCAUUCUACUACCUUUCCCUCAGAGGAGUCACCGUCGGCAAGACGCGGCUGCCGUUCAACGCGUCGGCGUUCGCGCUCAAGGGCGAUGGCUCCGGCGGGACGAUCAUCGACUCCGGCACGGCCAUCACGACCUUCCCACAGGCCGUGUUCCAGAGCCUCCGUGAAGCGUUCGUGGCGCAAGUACAGCUACCUGUCGCCAACGGCUACACCGACGCCGACGGCAGGCUGUGCUUCUCCCUCCCGGCGAUGAAGAAGGCGCCCGCCGUGCCGAAGCUGAUCCUCCACCUGGAGGGUGCAGACUGGGACCUUCCACGGGACAACUACGUGCUGGAUAACGACGACGACGGCACCGGCGCGGGCAGGGAGCUGUGCGUGGUGAUAUCUUCGGCGGGCAAGAGCGACCAGACAACCAUCGGCAACUUCCAGCAGCAGAACACACACAUCGUCUACGACCUGGAGAGCGACAAGAUGGUCUUUGCGCCUGCGCGCUGCGACAAGCUCUGA